CCUCAUUCCACCAAAAAUACACUGGGUGUCUGCCCCUGUGUUAUGGUCAAGAUCGCCAUCUGCUUCCUGAGUUUCAGGAUCACAGCUGACAGAAGCGUAUCACAACCGUGUGUGCGUGUAUAAUUGAGACAAUAAUAAACAUACGGUUUUCCACCUUGACUCUCUCACUACAGAGCAUCAAGACUACAAAGAUACCUUCAGAAAUAUCGCUUGUAUUAUAUGCUGGAUUAUAUUUAAGAGGACACCGCAGUUUAUCCUCUGUUAUUGGGCAUUUGAAUUGUUCCCAACUUUUUGUAAUAAAAAAAACUGUGGUGAC
This is a long non-coding RNA of Aethalodelphis obliquidens (Pacific white-sided dolphin), 316 nucleotides long. RefSeq lists it as uncharacterized. Lineage: Eukaryota; Metazoa; Chordata; Mammalia; Artiodactyla; Delphinidae. The transcript is spliced from 2 exons. The record is from RefSeq and is a predicted model, not a curated record.